AUAUGCUUGUCUCAANGUUAAGCCAUGCAUGUCUCAGUAUGAGUGCUUCUACAGCGAAACUGCGAAUGGCUCAUUAAAUCAGUUACGGUUUAUUUGAUGACUUGUGACACGGAUAACUGGGGAAAUUCUUCAGCCAAUACGUGCUUCUAAGCCGACUUUGUGGAAGGUGAGUAUUUGCUCGAUUCUGAACCAACCCAGAUCUUCUGGGCUUUAAGUUGAGCGGAGAGUAAAUCUGUCCAAUCGCAUUGCACCGCGAUGCGAUGCAUCAUUCAAGUUUCUGACCUAUCAGCUUCCGAUUGUAGGGUAUUGGCUUACCAUGGCGAUGACGGGUAACAGCGAAUUUGGGUUCAGUUCUGGAGAGGGAGCCUGAGAAACGGCUACCACAUCUAAGGAAGGCAGCAGGCGCGUAACUUACCCAAUUCUGACACGGAGAGGUAGUGACAAGAAAUAACGAUACAGGGCAUUCAUGUCUUGUACUUGGGCUGAGUAGAAUGUAAACGACUCUAUGAGUAUCAAUUGGAGGGCAAGUCUGUGCCAGCAGCCGCGGUAACUCCAGCUCCAAUAGCGUAUAUUGAAGUUGUUGCGGUUAAAAAGCUCGUCGUUGGAUUUCUGUUGAGGUCGAACAGUGCCGCCCUAUGGGUGCGCAACUGGCUCGGCUUCGGCAUCUUCUUGGAGAGCGCAUCUGCACUUAACUGAGAGGAUCGUACUUCAAGUCAGUUACCUUUGA
RNAcentral lists this ribosomal RNA (727 nucleotides) under uncultured eukaryote. RNAcentral's name for it is "SSU rRNA". It matches the Rfam family "Eukaryotic small subunit ribosomal RNA", at positions 26 to 760 of the family's 1831-position model. The record is from RNAcentral.